CCUACGGGAGGCUGCAGUGGGGGAUAUUGCACAAUGGGGGAAACCCUGAUGCAGCGACGCCGCGUGGGCGAAGAAGUAUUUCGGUAGGUAAAGCCCUAUCAGCAGGGCAGAAGAAAUGACGGUACCUGAGUAAGAAGCACCGGCUAAAUACGUCCCAGCAGCCGCGGUAAUACGUAGGGUGCAAGCGUUAUCCGGAGUUACUGGGUGUAACGGGAGCGCAGGCGGCAAGGCAAGACUGAUGUUAAAGCCCGCGGCUCAACCGCGGUACUGCAUUGGGAACUACCGGGCUGGAGUGCCGGAGAGGUAGGCGGAAUUCCUAGUGUAGCGGUGAAAUGCGUAGAUAUUAGGAGGAACAUCAGUGGCGAAGGCGGCCUACUGGACGGUGACUGACGCUGAGGCUCGAAAGCGUGGGGAGCAAACAGGAUUAGAUACCCUAGUAGUC
RNAcentral lists this ribosomal RNA (442 nucleotides) under uncultured bacterium. RNAcentral's name for it is "partial 16S ribosomal RNA". It matches the Rfam family "Bacterial small subunit ribosomal RNA", at positions 338 to 795 of the family's 1533-position model. The record is from RNAcentral.